Molecule: long non-coding RNA, 693 nt
Filed under: Helianthus annuus (common sunflower)
Lineage: Eukaryota; Viridiplantae; Streptophyta; Magnoliopsida; Asterales; Asteraceae
Description: sRNA HanXRQr2_Chr12g0533621
Source: RNAcentral
UUAUAUUAAAAAAUGUCCCAAAAUGAUCCGUAAGUAAAAACCUGGACCCCUGAAACCCCAAUCCAUAUCAAGAAUCAAGAAAAUCAGAUAUUUAGUCUUCUCGCGGGCCGCGUAAAGAAAAGGUGGGAGGUCACGCGGGCCGCGACAGCUUGUAAAUCUCCGGGUAUGCAUGAAGGCCACGUGUCGUCACACGUGUCGCGACCACCGGUGACUCAGCAACCUCCGAUCUGAUCCACACAUCCACGCGAGCCGCGUAAGGUUUGGCCGAAGGUUCACGCGGGCCGCGACAGGCUUGAAUUUCACCUAUAAAUAGCCUAGCUCAGGAGCUCUCAUUCUGUGUCGAAAUCAAAACUCAAAAACGUAUUCCCACUGCUCAAAAUCACAAAUUAGCAUAACGGGGUGCUGCUACGAUACCAGGUUACAAGACUAAUCUAUAGGCUAAGCUCUGCCUGUAUAAAUCUGCAAUAUCAAGGCUAACCAGUAGGCUAAAUUCUGCCCGUAUAAAUCUGCAUGCUUAUAAAGUAAUUACAGUAUAUUGGAAUAAGAGUUGGACACGGCACCAAAAAGGCUUACAGAAGUGGCUUCGUUUAUUAAUUAAAUCAAAUUAAGAAAUAUUGUUUUAUGUAAUUGGGUUAUCCCUUAUUAAAGCUACCUUUGUAAAACAUGGAUUUAUCCCAUCUAUUUAAUAAAUAA